This is an RNA transcript of Cryptomeria japonica (Japanese cedar), 2281 nucleotides long. RefSeq lists it as uncharacterized. The transcript is spliced from 6 exons. NCBI's taxonomy places the organism in Eukaryota, Viridiplantae, Streptophyta, Pinopsida, Cupressales, Cupressaceae. The record is from RefSeq and is a predicted model, not a curated record.
GUACGUGAAUCUGCCCCGGGAAAAGCUAUGGGACAAAGUUAGACAAACCAACUACUAUAGCUUCCAGGAGACUUUCGCUCUAGGAGAGCUCUAUUAGCCAACGUGGUCAAACAAACAAUCUGCUCUACGAGAACUGUUACCAAAAUGAUUAAGUUCUUUCUUCUAGAAAUUCGGCGAUAGAUUUACAUACUUUCCAGGCGUGAAUCUCAGGCAGCUUUAUUUAGUAGUCUCAAGUCUUAACGGAACCAAAUGGAUUUUGGGAGUCUCAAGAAUCACAAGAUUCAUAAUCGAAGAACUGGUAUCGAGAAAAACCUGAAGACGGUUGGUUUAGGAUGUGAUUCUUGAUCCCAGUGGACGUCAAAAUUUCUACAAUUCAAUUCAAUUUCCAACGGGCCUAAAGCACUUCCGACGAUAGGGUUUUGAACUUGGCCCAUCGCAGCUUUAAGUGCUUCAUCUUACUGCAAGAUCACAACCCAAUUGGUCUCAUGGAUACCAUAUUUGACAAAUACUAUUAUGUAUCGCCUUGGAGAGUGUGGUACUAUUCCAGGAAUGAAAUGAUAACAGUGUACCUGGUGAUGACGAAUUUGUUGUUCAAGAAACAACUGAUUUGACAAAACAGAAUAAGAAAAUUUGACUGAGAAGUAAAGUGUGGCAGGGAUUCUGCAUUGAACUAAGUUAACAGAACAGCAGAAAAGGCCUGAUACAUGCGAUACUUGAGAGAAAAGCUUGCAAGUGUAAAUGUGAAUUCCAGAAUUUUAAAUCACAGAAAUCUCCCUCAGAACAUAAUUACUGAAGAGUAUCAUAAAAUGGUGCAUGGCCUGGUAGUUUAAACUGCAGAGAGAAUGAUAGUUUCUUCAGAACCAGAGGAGUAUAAAAGUGGAUGUUUUGCAGUUACACAAGAAGAUCUGAUUUGUUGGUUGACUCCCAGUCAGGAUGCAAUUAGUACUCAUUGUUUUGUCAUAUUGAUGUGAAGGAUUUGGCAAAUCUUUAUAUUCUUAAAGGAUAAUUCAAUUUGGCUGAAAUAAUAUUUUACACAAGAAAGGUUUUGAGUGCAGGAACUCAAUUGUAAAUGCAUAGGUGAUGAGCGUGUCCUGUAAUCUCCUGAAUGGUUGGAUGGAUCCCAAUUGGAUUGAAAGUAUUAUGAUAAGAACCCACCAUUGAGUUCACGAGGGAUCUGAGUAGCCUAAGUAUGGUGCUUUUUCCUUAAACGAGAGGCAUAAAGAAAUGACAUCAGUGUGUGCUUGUAUGACUGCAUUGACCAAAAUUCAAAGGAUAUAAUUUUACCUCCAAAGUUGACCUUUCUUCAUCAGAUUACAAUUGUUUUAGAAAGGAGAAGCUAUUCACUGGUCCCGGAGUGGAUUUGGAUAUAGUCAAUUUCCUCAUCCAUGAUCCAUUUCACCUUGAAGAAGAGUGUUUGGCUGGAGAAAAGAAAAUCUGCUGUUUUGCUGAGAGUCUGUGUUUUUGUGCCAUUAAAGAUCGCUUGUAUUUCCAUGCCCAUGUUCCACAAUUUGGUAUCUAGAGGAGUAUCUAGAGGAAAACGAUGUCACGACCUGUGGCAUUAGUGUUUAUAUUAUUGAUACUGAUAAUGACAUCUCAAUUUGAAUGGAAACAACAGCUUGUGAAUGAGUCAGAGCCAAUUACAGCACUUUCUAAACAUCAACAGAUUUUAAAUAAGCAGGAACUUAUCAAGGAGCAGAUAAUUUUGUCUCAAGAAAAGAAGAUCCAUGAACUAAGUGAGCUUGUCAACAUCUUGCAACGACAGUUGACAGAUUGCAAAGUGGUCAAUAUUCAGAACAGAAAUGAAAGUAUUGUUGACUUGGAUGAGAGGAACCGACUAAGGAAGCAAGAUAUCCCAGAAGACUAAAGAGUGGCUCCAUAUGCAUGCAGAAAUUUUUCUGGCUGUUUCUUCAAGAAUUUGACUGCUAUAUGUGGGACUUCUUGGGUCAGUAUUUUGAUAACUGUAUAGUUGCUGGUACUUCAGGAAAUGAGCUUCAGAGAUGAUGCAGAUCCCCAAUGAACAUGUUUAACUUUCAAUGCCUUGUCUGUACCAUCACAAAGAAAAGGCCCAUUGCAACUACCAUAUGUAAUCUUUUAAUGUUUGUUGUGAUGGCACGAAUGGAUUUGUAGAGGCUAAGCUGCACUGGGCAGAGAUGUGGAUGCUUUCUGACAUAAUGUGGAAGUGAUGGAAGGAAAAACUGGAACUUUGAAAGCAUACAUUUUUUGUGGCCGGUGAAUGCCAAAUGUUCGACUCUUAAGUAUCUGAAGAAGUUUUUUGGUUUAA